GCUAGAGUGGCUCAGCGGCUACAGCACCUACCUUGUAAGUAGGCAAUCGUGGGUUCGAGUCCCACCUCUAGCACCA
RNAcentral lists this transfer RNA (76 nucleotides) under compost metagenome. RNAcentral's name for it is "tRNA-Thr". It matches the Rfam family "tRNA". Rfam says of the family: Transfer RNA (tRNA) molecules are approximately 80 nucleotides in length. Their secondary structure includes four short double-helical elements and three loops (D, anti-codon, and T loops). Further hydrogen bonds mediate the characteristic L-shaped molecular structure. tRNAs have two regions of fundamental functional importance: the anti-codon, which is responsible for specific mRNA codon recognition, and the 3' end, to which the tRNAs corresponding amino acid is attached (by aminoacyl-tRNA synthetases). tRNAs cope with the degeneracy of the genetic code in two manners: having more than one tRNA (with a specific anti-codon) for a particular amino acid; and 'wobble' base-pairing, i.e. permitting non-standard base-pairing at the 3rd anti-codon position. The record is from RNAcentral.